Molecule: long non-coding RNA, 500 nt
Organism: Cucurbita moschata (crookneck pumpkin)
Lineage: Eukaryota; Viridiplantae; Streptophyta; Magnoliopsida; Cucurbitales; Cucurbitaceae
Exons: 4
Source: RefSeq, a predicted model, not a curated record
GCCAAAAUUUUACAUUUCUUUGAUCUCUGUUCUUUUAUGUAGCUUCGUGAUUCAGUAAUGGCGUCCGCUUCUACAGUUCCCGCUUUCGAUUGCUUCUGUCGUUAUCUCUAUCUUUCUCAUUGCUGGCUCCAUAUCCCAAACAAAAAGUUUAGUGGAUUAUAAUAUCUGAUGCGGGCAAAAUGAAGGCAAAGAACGUUGAAUUAAGAAAUGAUGGCAACAGGAAUUAAACCAGAAGGGAUGAUAACUAUAUAUCAGCUUAUGUUCUUGACCAAAUUUUGUAAGUUUUGUGCAACAUUGAGGAUUAACUUCGAAGCAUAUAACUUGCAGGUAUGGCUUAUCAUUGUGGAAACAUACAUGCUGACAUGUUUGGUGCUCAUAUAUCUCAGAGGAACCAAAAUAAGUUCACCAGAUUCAGGCAACCUCGGGCGACGAUAUAACAAAAUGGAGAAAUCUCCACCUCCAUUGGUAAAGAACCCAAAGCUAAGAUCCGAAUAGAAAUU